UUGGUACUGUAUAACUACUUCACUAAUUUGGCGUUCUUCUGACGGAUAUAUUGGUGUUGAUGGGUGUAACUCUGGAAUAUGUUUGAGAUACAACGCUUAGUCUUCUUCUUACACAAACUGUUGUGUCUUAUGCGAACGAUUGCAAAAACUGAAAGGGUCAUCUGCCUGACGGACCUUCUUGCAUUUUAUUAUAAAACUGACACAUCAUGUUCAUUUACGAAAGAGUUGUUCAUGAGGAACUUUAAAG
Long non-coding RNA from Ostrea edulis (European flat oyster), 247 nucleotides. RefSeq lists it as uncharacterized. The record is from RefSeq and is a predicted model, not a curated record. NCBI's taxonomy places the organism in Eukaryota, Metazoa, Mollusca, Bivalvia, Ostreida, Ostreidae. The transcript has 3 exons.